RNAcentral lists this ribosomal RNA (512 nucleotides) under uncultured bacterium. Its description in RNAcentral is "bacterial SSU rRNA". It matches the Rfam family "Bacterial small subunit ribosomal RNA", at positions 28 to 526 of the family's 1533-position model. The record is from RNAcentral.
GACGAACGCUGGCGGCGUGCUUAACACAUGCAAGUGGAGCGACGAACCGGGGCUUGCCCCGGGGCAAAGCCGCGAACGGGUGAGUAACACGUGGGUAACCUACCCCGAUGAUUGGGACAACCCGAGGAAACUCGGGCUAAUACCAAAUGUGCUCGAAGCUCAUGAGGGCUUCGAGUAAAGAUAGCUUCGGCCUUCGCAUCGGGAUGGGCCCGCGGCCCAUUAGCUUGUUGGUGAGGUAACGGCUCACCAAGGCGACGAUGGGUAGCUGGUCUGAGAGGACGAUCAGCCACACUGGGACUGAGACACGGCCCAGACUCCUACGGGAGGCAGCAGUGGGGAAUCUUGCGCAAUGCGCGAAAGCGUGACGCAGCAACGCCGCGUGGGGGAAGAAGGCCUUCGGGUUGUAAACCCCUUUCAGUUGGGACGAAGCUCCGUCGGUGAAUAGCCGGCCGGAGUGACGGUACCUUCACAAGAAGCCCCGGCUAACUACGUGCCAGCCGCCGCGGUAACAC